CCUACGGGUGGCAGCAGUGGGGGAUAUUGCACAAUGGGGGAAACCCUGAUGCAGCGACGCCGCGUGGGUGAAGAAGGGCCUCGGAGCGUAAAGCCCUGUCAGCAGGGAAGAAAAUGACGGUACCUGAAGAAGAAGCCCCGGCUAAAUACGGGCCAGCAGCCGCGGUAAUACGUAGGGGGCAAGCGUUAUCCGGAUUUACUGGGUGUAAAGGGGGCGCAGGCGGCGAUGCAAGUCAGGAGUGAAAGACCGGGGCCCAACCCCGGGACUGCACUUGGAACUGCGUGGCUAGAGUGCAGGAGGGGCAGGCGGAAUUCCUGGUGUAGCGGUGAAAUGCGUAGAUAUUCGGAGGAACACCGGUGGCGAAGGCGGCCUGCUGGACUGCAACUGACGUUGAGGCCCGAAAGCGUGGGGAGCAAACAGGAUUAGAUACCCUGGUAGUC
RNAcentral lists this ribosomal RNA (440 nucleotides) under uncultured bacterium. RNAcentral's name for it is "partial 16S ribosomal RNA". It matches the Rfam family "Bacterial small subunit ribosomal RNA", at positions 338 to 795 of the family's 1533-position model. The record is from RNAcentral.